CUUGGGUGAAAAGAAAGGGAGAGAGGGGGAAAACUAAGAUGGAUUAAACUGGACGGGAAGUUCGAAAGAGCGAAGAAGAAGCUUUAAAUUCGUGUUUCAAUGCGGAGACGUAGUGUAGAGAACUGAAAAAUGAAUCAUCUUAGUAUCAGAGUGGGGCAGAGAAAUCAAACGAGAUUCUGUAAGUAGCAGGGAGCGAAAGCGGAGGAGUCCCAGAGAGUGAGUAAAUAGUAGAAGAAAGGAGUUCACAUAUCUAAGACUAAAUGUUAAUCCAUACUGAAAGCGCGAGUACUGUAAAGGAAAGUUGAAAGAGACUUGAAAAGAUCUGGAAUCCUGUCUUUUAAAGCAACUGUAAAACAGUGUACCUUUUGUAUAAUGGGUUUAUGAGAUAUCGUUUGGCAAAUUUAAGUAAAAUGUAGGUGAAGAGAAGUCGAGAAGGCUCUUUAGUCAAAUUUCCCGAAACCAAGUGAUCUAACCAUGGGCAGUUUAAUGAACGAACCGGUGGUUGUAGCAAAAACCUCGGAGGAUCUGUGGAUAGGGGGGAAAGACCAAUCGGACUUGGAGAUAGCUGGUUUUCUACGAAAACUAUUGAAGUAGUGCGUCCACAUAGGGGUUGGGCGGUGUUUAAAAUAUAGUGUGUGAAACUUAUAACUGGUGUUUUAUCAUGGGCCUAUGCUUUGUUCAUUAUCUAAGUUUUUAUAUAUAUGACGCCUAAUAAAAAUUUUAGGGUAAAGAUCUAUUGCCUUAGGGGGGAUAGACUUUAAAGAUAAAAUUCGAAGUGGACAGAUAGACAAGGGGCAAGCAGGUCCGUUGUUAAAGGGGGAGAGCCCAAAUUAGAAGUUAAAGUCAGGGAUUCAAUAAUUAAGUGUAAAAGGAGUGUGGGAUUUAGACAAUGAAGAGGUAGGCUUGGAGCCAGCCAUCUUUGAAAGAAUGCGUAGAAGUUCAUUCAAGAACUCUUUUUCCCUAAAAAUUACGGUGGCUAAAAAUUGAACUGAAACUCUGGGGGUAGUAAGUAGUUUGCUUGGUAGUAGAACAGACUGUUGAGUGGUGGUGAGAGCCCAAGAAUCAGAAGAGAAAAUGUGAACAUGAGUAAAAAAAUUGUUGCCUCAUCUCUCCUGGUCACCAAGCCAAAGGUGCCUUUGGUUUGGGCAAAACAGUCUCUAAGGAGGUUCCCGAUGGGGGAUGGUAAUAAACGCACAAUGUGCCAGGAAAUAAUUAAAACAAAAGACUACUGUUGUAAACUAACACAAGUGGGAGAUAGUGGGGGGGAAAGUUUUUUUAAGGAACUCGGCAAGUUAUUAGCUUUCAUUAGAAGUUAAAACACAAGGCCUCGACUGUUUACCAAAAACAUAGCUCUUUGCUAAUAUGAAGGUAGAAGUAUGAAGGGUGAGACCUGCCCAAUGGUUGUAUCUAAAAAGGUUGGUAGAGCCAACUUAAUAAAGACAAUUUAAUGGCCGCGGUAACACUGACCGUGAUAAUGUAGCGUAAUCAAUAGUCAAUUAAUUGUUGGCCGGUAUGAAUGGUGUCACGAAGGUCUCACUGUCUUAAGGAAAUUUCCAGUGAAAUUGAAUUUGUAGUGAAGAUGCUACAUCCAAAUUGUUAGACAAGAAGACCCCAUGAAACUUUACUGGAAACUUAUGUGGCUGACUUAAAUAGUUUAAAAAUGUGGUGCGGGUCAACUAAGGCUAGAAAAGCGCACUUUUUUAUUUGAAGAAAGGCAACUCACGAACUUAUGUUUUUGGGGUUUGAUAAGUGGGACAGUUUGGUUGGGGCGACCGCCUUUAAAAAAGUAACGAAGGCGGGCUUAAGAUACAUAUUUAAUUGUGUCUGACUGCCAGGGGGAGACCCAGAGCAGACACUUAUCUUUGGACGGUGGGUUUAAGUGACCCGUUAAUUUAGGGUGAAAUAGUUAACGAUAAACAAAUAAAAGUUACUCUGGGGAUAACAGCGCAAUAACGUUAGAGAGUUUUUAUCGACGACGAUGUUUGCGACCUCGAUGUUGAAUUGUGGCAUCCUGGGGUGCAGUCGCUCCCAAGGGUUGGUCUGUUCGUCCAUUAAAGCCGUACAUGAUUUGAGUUAAAAGCGUCGUAAGACAGCUUGGUUUCUAUCUACAAUUUGAAGAAACAUUGAUAUAACUAUUUUCUAGUACGAAAGGAUCGAAAAAUUAGUGGUUCUCUUAUUUUUAUAAGUUACAAUCAAUUGAUUGAUUCAGAUGCUUUUUGAAGGGGUCUUUUGGUUAAUUGCUGAUUGCUUCUAAAGUAUGAAAGUUAUAUCAAGUUGUUUGAGGUCUGAAAAAGGAAGUGUUCAUUGC
This 2308-nucleotide ribosomal RNA is filed under the name Galaxea fascicularis. Its description in RNAcentral is "16S ribosomal RNA". It matches the Rfam family "Bacterial large subunit ribosomal RNA". Lineage: Eukaryota; Metazoa; Cnidaria; Anthozoa; Scleractinia; Euphylliidae. RNAcentral also lists the same sequence under 1 other name. The record is from RNAcentral.